Molecule: ribosomal RNA, 460 nt
Filed under: uncultured bacterium
Lineage: Bacteria
Description: partial 16S ribosomal RNA
Rfam family: Bacterial small subunit ribosomal RNA
Source: RNAcentral
CCUACGGGAGGCAGCAGUGAGGAAUAUUGGUCAAUGGACGAGAGUCUGAACCAGCCAAGUAGCGUGAAGGAUGACUGCCCUAUGGGUUGUAAACUUCUUUUAUAAAGGAAUAAAACGAGGCACGCGUGCCUUUUUGCAUGUACUUUAUGAAUAAGGAUCGGCUAACUCCGUGCCAGCAGCCGCGGUAAUACGGAGGAUCCGAGCGUUAUCCGGAUUUAUUGGGUUUAAAGGGAGCGUAGAUGGGUUGUUAAGUCAGUUGUGAAAGUUUGCGGCUCAACCGUAAAAUUGCAAUUGAUACUGGCAGUCUUGAGUAGAGUUGAGGUAGGCGGAAUUCGUGGUGUAGCGGUGAAAUGCUUAGAUAUCACGAAGAACCCCGAUUGCGAAGGCAGCAUACUAAACUGUGACUGACAUUGAUGCUCGAAAGUGUGGGUAUCAAACAGGAUUAGAUACCCGUGUAGUC